Molecule: long non-coding RNA, 1461 nt
Filed under: Heterocephalus glaber (naked mole-rat)
Lineage: Eukaryota; Metazoa; Chordata; Mammalia; Rodentia; Bathyergidae
Description: lncRNA (ENSHGLG00100038295.1)
Source: RNAcentral
GUGUUCGCCAAAGCGUAAAUUCAAUCAGUAUAAUGGAAUCCACAGCUGAUUAAUCAUAUUAGCGCUCCUGGAGUCCUCCAAGGCUCUGGAUCUUAGGUGGAGAGAAACGUCCACUUAAUGAAGGCAUAACAGCCCAAGGAAGAGGGUGUCAGGCCAGGUAGGAUUUGUGCCCCACAGCACUUUCUCAAGGUAACUGCUAGUUGGGAUGGAUUCCAAUUUUGAAGCAGAAGGUAUCAACAAGGAAAAAGAUACUUUAAUCCCCUACUGGCAGUAAACAUUUAAGUGAAGAAAAAAGCAGAGGUUGCCUAGGUCGGGUACUGACGCUCGGCAGUUUUAACUGAUGGUUUCUACCACCAUUAGAACUUGUGACUUAAAAAUUUUGGGGGCCGGGGAUUUAGCUCAGUGGUUACAGUGCCUGCCUCACAAGUGCAAGGUCCCAAGUUUGAUCCUUGGUACCAAAAAAAUAAAAAAAUAAAAAUUUUGGACAAGGUCUCACUAUGUGGCAUCCAACUCAGUGAUCCUCAUGCCUCAGCCUCCCUGAGCGCUAAGAUAACAGGUGUGCUCUACCAUACUCAGCUACAACUUAUGUGACAUUUUAUCUCAUUAGGAGAAGGGAAGUAGGUCAGGAGAAAACUUCAGGGAAAAAAGUCGAUCUCACUGUGCUGCUGACUGCCAGUUUGCCAGAACCUCUAUAAAAAGUCAACCCUGGACACAUGUGUACCUCAGUGGUAGAGAGCUUGAGUAUGCAUGCACAAGGCCCUGAGUUCCAUCCAUAGCAACACAGACACACACACUUCAAACUUGAGGCCAUAUGAUUAAAGAAGUGAGCCACAUCUGGUAAAACUUAGUUUCAGGGAAAAAAAGUACCAAAGUAAGUACUGAACAUACCAAGCUCAAGAGAGUUCCAUUUACCCAUCUGGCAUUUAUAUGGUACCUGACCAACCCCAAAGGGUUAGAAGCCAGUUGCGGGGAGUUGCUUACUUCCCAGAGGACAGACUUAGGCCCAAAAUGGUUUCGAGGACACCCUCCCUACACAACAGAGGUUAUAAAACCAGUACCCAUUGGAUUGGGGGCAAACGGGAAAUCCUACAGUACUUGUUCUUCUAAAGGGAUAGCUGCUUCUCAGCCCCUGUGGGAGAACAUGGGCCCAGGGGAAGUCUAGAUUUUAAAACUUCUAAGUUGUUCAAUAACUCCUGUAUUUUAAAAUGCUAGCAUCUACAUUUUUUUCAAUACACUACAAGUCAAAUCAAGCCCCCUAGCUAAAGCAAAACCCUUUGGCCACUCACUCACCUUAUGGACUUGUUUUUAUUGAGGGCAGUUCACCCACACAUAUUUAUUCUGGAUGAAAGGAUCACACAGACACACCAUAUCCAUGGAAAAAACCCUCUUGUUUAUUUGAUUAAACAAAAAUAAAAUAAGCUGCAUAGGAACAAUUUUAAAGUCCAAAGAGACACCAACUUU